GUCAUCUUGUAACUCUACAUCAAACAUAGUGAUCAUAAACGUUGAGACUGUAUAUGACGAGUUUUAUGAUAUGGAAAUGGGCACAUUUGGACUCACAGGUGUUUUGCUUGCUUGUAUGACAUCAGUGGUAUUUAUUAUAAUGUCAUCUUUCAAAACACAUAGUCCUCAUAAAUGUACAGCAUUUCCCUCACUCAGACAACAAAACAUUAGCAAAGGUUGCCAGGUACGACUGUACAGGGCUACAUAACAAAAUCCUGUAUUUUAUUGCAGCAAUGCCUUCAGGAACGUCUGGGAUCUGAAUGAAUGGCGCCAGGCUCAGACGGAUUCUGACCACUGGAGUGUUUGUUUGCUCCGGAAGCCAUCGCUUUAUUUAAAUACGCAACCUGUGUUCCAGGUUCUGAACCAAGGGUCUGAAUGAAGAUGUUCAACUCAAUCAUAUUGUUGCUUAUGUAGAUGGCAGAACUCUAGUUUCACGGCCUUUGUGGUGGAGACACAGGAACUCGAUGAGUCAGCAUUGUGGCAUCUUCAUUGAUACUCUGCCAGAGACGCAGCAUGGUAUGUGGUGACGACGAUGACAUAUGACAGAACACUUGCUCUCCACCGCCACUUCGGCAUUGAUGCCCUCACUGACGAAGACAUUGAGGCAAUUUUCUUGUCUGAAGAAAUUGAUUGUCUUGAUGAGUCUCUCAACUACAAUUUGCACGACUAACAGUACCCUUUCACUUAACUAUUAAAUUGCAUACCGAGAGCUUUCCCUACGGCACAGUCACAAAUGACCGGAUGAGCAAGUGGCUGGAUCGUUCAGGAUGAGACAAGAAGGCUCCAAGUUUGCACAUCCUGCAUUCUCCAAGUUCCAAGAGUACCUCAUAAGGAAGAUGUACAGAGUCAUCCCUCGGCAAGGACUUUGACGCAGGCACCUACUUCUACUUCAUCUCAACAGUGCACCAUCUCUGUGUGCAUUGUCUUACAGGUCACAGUAUGGAUUCUGCAGAAGGGGUUCAGUUGGGCAAAGCACAUAUUGCCUCCCCAUAACUUUAAAAAAAAAUCACUUUUGUUGCAUCUGCAUGUUCAUUUGAGAGGCAGAAUGUAAGGGGUUAAGUGGGCCAUAACGGAGCUAGCCAAAAUUCUCUGCCUCAACAGAUGUACAUUGUGUUCAACUGUAAUCAUCCUUAGUGUGGUUAGGUAGGUUUACCCUAAAAAAUAUAGUUCCUGUAUCGUAGCGAAGCCCAUGUACACGAUAUAUGUAUUGAUGUAACACCAGCACAUUGAAUUGACAUGAGCGAG
Molecule: long non-coding RNA, 1284 nt
Filed under: Salmo salar (Atlantic salmon)
Lineage: Eukaryota; Metazoa; Chordata; Actinopteri; Salmoniformes; Salmonidae
Description: lncRNA (ENSSSAG00000119067.1, ENSSSAG00075035002.1)
Source: RNAcentral